UACGGAGGAUGCAAGCGUUAUCCGGAAUGAUUGGGCGUAAAGAGUCCGUAGGUGGUUAUUCAAGUCGAUUGUUAAAGAGCGAGGCUUAACCUUGUAAAAGCAGUGGAAACUGAAUAGCUAGAGAGAGGUAGGGGUAGAGGGAAUUCCCGGUGUAGCGGUGAAAUGCGUAGAGAUCGGGAAGAACACCAGUGGCGAAAGCGCUCUACUGGACCUCAUCUGACACUGAGGGACGAAAGCUAGGGGAGCGAAAGGG
RNAcentral lists this ribosomal RNA (253 nucleotides) under uncultured prokaryote. RNAcentral describes it as "partial 16S ribosomal RNA". It matches the Rfam family "Bacterial small subunit ribosomal RNA", at positions 524 to 776 of the family's 1533-position model. The record is from RNAcentral.